CUAAAGCAGAAGUAAAUCCUGGUGGGCCACUCAGAUGUGUGGGAGUGGAAUCUGGUUAUAUGGAGCUAGAGGAAACAACUUGUCCCUGCUAAUGAUGAANGGUUAACAUGGAUAUCCAAGGCUAGAGAUGCCACAGAAAAAUUUUGCAAUUGUGAAAGAGCCAAUGUUAAUUAAACAUCAAGGGGAUAGUGUUCAAGAUGGUCCUCAAGAUGAAAGUUCACAGAUGCUGCAUUAUCUUCAACUUGGCACAGAAUUGAAUUCUAAAUUCGGAUUUGUGAGUUUCCAGUAAAAUCACUUUUCUGGCACCCAUGGCCGUGGGUGUCAAGGUCAAACCCGGAGGUAUAAAUAGCUGUGGAUGAGAGACGUUCAUUGCUAUCCCCAGUCCAGAUCCAGGGAGCAACCAUGAAGACCUUCAUCUUCCUUGCCCUGCUGGGAGCCACUGGUAAGUCUAUAAUAAUAAAUAAAUCAGUGGGUGCCCAUGAUGUAUUUGUUUUUCACUUUGUAUUCUGGAAGACAACAAUGAAUGUUGAAUAGAAUCUCUGUACUCAUGGAGCUUAAAAUACUGACAUGACAGUGUAUAUGAUAGUCCCUUCUUUUCUGUGACAGCUAUAUCGACCCCAGUUGAAGCCUGAAGCCACAGAUAGUACUGACCCAUAUAUACUAUGGUUUUCUCCCCCACGUAUACAUACCCAUGAUAAAGUUUAAGGAACGAAUUAGGCACAGUAAGGGAUUAACAACAAACCUACCAAAAACAUAGAACAUUUAUAACAAUAUACUUUAAUAAAAGUUAUGUGACUAUGCUCUUCUGUCUCUCUCUCUCUCAAAAUAUCUUAUUGCACUGUACGCACCUGUCUUGUGAUGCUGUGUGAUGAUAAAAUGCCUACGUGAUGAGAAGAAGUGGGGUCAAUGACAUUGGUGUUGUGAUGCAGUGUUAGGCUAUAAUGACCUUCGGAGGAUACAUGAGAAAAUGAAUAGUCUACUUCCUGACUCUAUUUAACCAAGGGUAACCAAAACCACGAUAAGGGGGGCACCAGAGUCCUACAAAUGUCUAUACAUAAGUAUAUCUCCCUUGUGGGGGGAAGAUGGUAGUGAGCAAGUGUAGUUAGUGAAGGAAGUAUAAAGAGGCAGAAAUUGCCCUGAGCUUCAAGGAAAAAUCUAUAGACAAAGAGAGAAAAGGAACGGAUAGGAAAUGUUGUUAUGGCCUUUAUGAGCCCUUGGAAUUAAUCAUUUGGAGUGAAAAUUGGGAUUAGUGACUAGUCUUGGGCUCAUUGAGGACUCUAAGAGGGUCAGAGCCCACGUCUUCUCUACACCGACAGCAUCUUCACAAAGAUCUUAACAGGUGAAGGUACUUCAUUUCUCAUGAAUAAAAGCUAUGGGCUGGUUUUACAACAUCUUUGCUAAUGAAAUCUCUCUGGUGUAAAAUAACAUAUCAUUUAAUCAGCAAAAGAAAGAAAAAUGUCUAUUUGUGUUUUUUAUACUACCAAAUUUUAUACAAAUCUUACUAUUAAACUUUCCUGAAUUGGACGGGUAUAAAUUCAAUACACUAGUCUCUACACCUGGAAAUUUCUUUCCCAAAAUAAUUUGAAAAUACUCUAAUAGGGUACAUAUAAUAUAAUCAUAGAUUUUGGCAGCCUUUGAAAUCUUAAUAAAUCAGUGGGCAGACUUCAGAAUGCUGAAUAAACUUAAAAAAUUGGAAAGAUAAUUGAGAUAAGGGGAGAGAUUGGAAAAGGAAACCAUAUAAUGUUCCAUGAAAUUAUGUCAUGAAAAUUUUAGGCAAGAAGAAAAGAAGAAAUUUGGGGAACAAGAGUACAAAACUCCCAAUUCCUUCCAGGCUAGAACAUUCUUAGGUGGCUUCUAAAGGUGGCCUUUGUGUUACCUCAUGAGGAUAUCUAUCCUAUACCAACUACUAUAUUUAAACGUAAGCAUGAUUACUCCAAAGCUUUAUGAAACACCUAUUUGCAUGACUGUUGAACAAAUUUUGUAUAAAAAUAUUCUUUAUACCCUUAGUACUGUUCAGGGCAUUUAUUACACAAAGCGUCUCUGAUCAGGGGGCUGUGUGUGUGUGUGUGUGUGUGUGUGUGUGUGUAUGCGGUGUAUACCUUAAGAAAGCAGUAUAUU
Ailuropoda melanoleuca (giant panda) is the source of this 2118-nucleotide long non-coding RNA. RefSeq lists it as uncharacterized. The record is from RefSeq and is a predicted model, not a curated record. NCBI's taxonomy places the organism in Eukaryota, Metazoa, Chordata, Mammalia, Carnivora, Ursidae. The transcript is spliced from 3 exons.